Molecule: long non-coding RNA, 1855 nt
Filed under: Homo sapiens (human)
Lineage: Eukaryota; Metazoa; Chordata; Mammalia; Primates; Hominidae
Description: HSALNT0350247
Source: RNAcentral
UCCUUUCUCUCUCUCUCGGAUCACUUAUGCUAAAAUACACAAGCUGCCAUGUCACAAACAGCCCUGUGAAGAGGCCUACAUGAUACAGCAAAGAACUGAGGCCCUCAGUCCAGCAGCCAGUGAGGAAUUAACACCCUCAAUCCAACAACCUGUGAGGGAAUCAAGCCUGCUAAUGAUCAGAUAAGUGAACAUGCAAGUCCGUCCUUCAGUGCCAAUUGAGUCUUUUCUUUUUCUUGGGAUAGAAUCUUAUUCUGUCACAAAGCGGUAUGAUCUAGGCUCACUGCAACCUCUGCCUCCUGGGUUCAAGUGAUUCUCCUGCCUCAGCCUCCCGAAUAGCUGGGAUUAUGGGCACGUGCCACCACACCCAGCUAAUUUUUGUAUUUUUAGUAGAGACAGGGUUUUUCCAUGUUGAUCAGGCUGGUCUCGAACUCCUGACCUCAGGUGAUCCACCCACCUCAGCCUCCCACAGUGCUGGGAUUACAGGUGUGCACCACUACGCUUGAACUGAUUUUUGUAUUUUUAGUAGAGAUGAGGCUUCAUCAUGUUGGCCAGGCUGGUCUUGAACUCCCGGCCUCAAGUGAUCCACCCACCUCAGCCUCCCAAAGUACUAGGAUUACAGGUGUGAGCCACUGCACCCAGCCCCUACUUGAGUCUUAAGAUGAGACUGAAGGCCUGUCUGACAGUUUUACUGCAAUCUCAAAAGAGACCUUGAGCCAGCAAGAUCCAGCAAAGCCACUCUGGAUCCCUGAGCCACUGAAACUGUGAGGCAAAGAAACUGAGGCCCAGAGAGGCUCGAUGACAUGUUCAAAGUCACAUAUCCAGAAGAGGACGGAGUCAAAGUCUUUCUGGAAGUUUCCAAAAGGAAGAAUAGGAUCCUGGUUUGGAAUUUCUCUGAAAUUGGACUUCUAAUUUUCUGUAGGAAUGAACGUUCCCAAAUUGGAGCUGUCCAGCAAUAAGGUGGAUUGCCUUUGAAGAAGCUGAGUUCCUUGCCAUAGGAAGUAUUCAAGCAGAAAGGUACAAAGACUCAACGACAGAGUGCCAGAGAGGAUGUCUUAUGGAGAUGGUUGACAUAAACCUCUCUAACUGCAUGGGCUAGAAGGGAUCCAGGAAGCCCCCUAGAAACUUUCUCAGAGGUUUCCUCUCUCAGCUUGGAGCCCCCUCCCUCUGUCUCUACAGCUUACGACAGGUUUAUUGGGACAAUGCCAUCAUAAAUCAAGAAGCAUCUGUAAGUCCACUGAAAUAAAACGCAAACCAGCAACUCAGAGAGGUUCAUUGACUUGCCGAAGGCCACAAAGCUGUUAAGUGUUCAAACAGAUGGCGUCAAACCAGAUCUUUAGCCUCAGGGACCAGAGCUCUGCAGCCUGGAGGGGACCUUCUGCAGCAUCAUUGCACAGAAGACAUCAAUCAAUCAGUCUUUCAGUGGCCUUACAUUUUUCUCCACUUGCAGGUUAUGGGUCACCAUUUUACAAAUUCCUCCAGGACAGAAAGAAACUGUUUCUCCUGCCUGUUCUUUCCCAGCCCAGGCUGUCACCGGGGAUCCAAAUGUCAGGCUUUAUGCAAGUUCUCGAUGUUGGAACCUCUCAUGAAAAGUGGAGUGAACAAGAGGGAAAGUGGGCAAACCUCAGGCCUCACAGCUUUAAUGCCACCGAUGCAUUUGGUGAGGGACCUGAUCUCUCUGCUUCCAAGACAGAGUCUUGUUGCUGUCUUCCGGAGGGGAGGAACCCCGUGUCCUCACGUGGCAGAAGAGCAUAAGAGAGCAAACCCACUCCUUCAAACUCGCCUUUUAGAGAUGGGGUCUCACUCUGUCACCCAGGCUAGAGCGAGCAUAGUGGUAUGAUCCUAGCUCAUUGCAGCC